This 1468-nucleotide ribosomal RNA is filed under the name Escherichia coli. Its description in RNAcentral is "partial 23S ribosomal RNA". It matches the Rfam family "Bacterial large subunit ribosomal RNA", at positions 1477 to 2925 of the family's 2925-position model. Lineage: Bacteria; Pseudomonadati; Pseudomonadota; Gammaproteobacteria; Enterobacterales; Enterobacteriaceae. RNAcentral also lists the same sequence under 1 other name. The record is from RNAcentral.
GAAGGCUAUGUUGGCCGGGCGACGGUUGUCCCGGUUUAAGCGUGUAGGCUGGUUUUCCAGGCAAAUCCGGAAAAUCAAGGCUGAGGCGUGAUGACGAGGCACUACGGUGCUGAAGCAACAAAUGCCCUGCUUCCAGGAAAAGCCUCUAAGCAUCAGGUAACAUCAAAUCGUACCCCAAACCGACACAGGUGGUCAGGUAGAGAAUACCAAGGCGCUUGAGAGAACUCGGGUGAAGGAACUAGGCAAAAUGGUGCCGUAACUUCGGGAGAAGGCACGCUGAUAUGUAGGUGAAGUCCCUUGCGGAUGGAGCUGAAAUCAGUCGAAGAUACCAGCUGGCUGCAACUGUUUAUUAAAAACACAGCACUGUGCAAACACGAAAGUGGACGUAUACGGUGUGACGCCUGCCCGGUGCCGGAAGGUUAAUUGAUGGGGUCAGCGCAAGCGAAGCUCUUGAUCGAAGCCCCGGUAAACGGCGGCCGUAACUAUAACGGUCCUAAGGUAGCGAAAUUCCUUGUCGGGUAAGUUCCGACCUGCACGAAUGGCGUAAUGAUGGCCAGGCUGUCUCCACCCGAGACUCAGUGAAAUUGAACUCGCUGUGAAGAUGCAGUGUACCCGCGGCAAGACGGAAAGACCCCGUGAACCUUUACUAUAGCUUGACACUGAACAUUGAGCCUUGAUGUGUAGGAUAGGUGGGAGGCUUUGAAGUGUGGACGCCAGUCUGCAUGGAGCCGGCCUUGAAAUACCACCCUUUAAUGUUUGAUGUUCUAACGUGGACCCGUGAUCCGGGUUGCGGACAGUGUCUGGUGGGUAGUUUGACUGGGGCGGUCUCCUCCUAAAGAGUAACGGAGGAGCACGAAGGUUGGCUAAUCCUGGUCGGACAUCAGGAGGUUAGUGCAAUGGCAUAAGCCAGCUUGACUGCGAGCGUGACGGCGCGAGCAGGUGCGAAAGCAGGUCAUAGUGAUCCGGUGGUUCUGAAUGGAAGGGCCAUCGCUCAACGGAUAAAAGGUACUCCGGGGAUAACAGGCUGAUACCGCCCAAGAGUUCAUAUCGACGGCGGUGUUUGGCACCUCGAUGUCGGCUCAUCACAUCCUGGGGCUGAAGUAGGUCCCAAGGGUAUGGCUGUUCGCCAUUUAAAGUGGUACGCGAGCUGGGUUUAGAACGUCGUGAGACAGUUCGGUCCCUAUCUGCCGUGGGCGCUGGAGAACUGAGGGGGGCUGCUCCUAGUACGAGAGGACCGGAGUGGACGCAUCACUGGUGUUCGGGUUGUCAUGCCAAUGGCACUGCCCGGUAGCUAAAUGCGGAAGAGAUAAGUGCUGAAAGCAUCUAAGCACGAAACUUGCCCCGAGAUGAGUUCUCCCUGACCCUUUAAGGGUCCUGAAGGAACGUUGAAGACGACGACGUUGAUAGGCCGGGUGUGUAAGCGCAGCGAUGCGUUGAGCUAACCGGUACUAAUGAACCGUGAGGCUUA